GUGCCAGCAGCCGCGGUAAUACGUAGGGUGCGAGCGUUAAUCGGAAUUACUGGGCGUAAAGCGUGCGCAGGCGGUUUGGUAAGACAGGCGUGAAAUCCCCGGGCUUAACCUGGGAAUGGCGCUUGUGACUGCCAGGCUAGAGUGCGUCAGAGGGGGGUAGAAUUCCACGUGUAGCAGUGAAAUGCGUAGAGAUGUGGAGGAAUACCGAUGGCGAAGGCAGCCCCCUGGGACGUGACUGACGCUCAUGCACGAAAGCGUGGGGAGCAAACAGGAUUAGAUACCCCCGUAGUCC
RNAcentral lists this ribosomal RNA (292 nucleotides) under uncultured bacterium. RNAcentral's name for it is "partial 16S ribosomal RNA". It matches the Rfam family "Bacterial small subunit ribosomal RNA", at positions 505 to 796 of the family's 1533-position model. The record is from RNAcentral.